UUUUUCUUCCCUUUUUUCUUUAUCUAUGUUUUAUUUUUGAAAUAAUUGUGUGUGAAUUGUCUUGAUAUUGAACCCUAGGGUAGAAAACAUGUUUAUAUCUGCUUGGGAAUUUUUCUAGUUGUUUUGCAGGUGAGGGUUUAGGUGCAUUGCAUUCUCCCUUCACACACACACUUUAUGCAUAUCAUGAGUGGGGCCCUAUACCCGAGUCUGAGCGAAGUUUAGAAUUAGAGGGGUUGUGUAGCUGUGCCACUUGGGACAUACUGCCUGUUUGGCUAUCGUGAGAACCCCAGCUAGAGUUUGUUUUCUUCAUUUAUCUCUCCGUGUCUAGUUGAUUACUCGACUGUUGUGGAGACGCUGUGAAGGGGGCCAUAGCUCUAGUGAGCAUUGAUCUUUAGGCUCAGGGAACCAUCCUUGUGAGAUUGCAUAUACUUGACUUUGAAUCUUAAGCAUCGAACCUUCGUAGGGGCACAAAGGGAGAUGUGUGCAGUCUUCUAACCCUUAUUUUCACUUGAUAAAAUCACGCAUCUUGUGCAUAUCUUGAGUCACUUGUCUUUCUUGCAAAUCUUCAAACUCAUUUUUUUCGAAAAAAAA
Molecule: long non-coding RNA, 591 nt
Filed under: Vigna radiata
Lineage: Eukaryota; Viridiplantae; Streptophyta; Magnoliopsida; Fabales; Fabaceae
Description: long non-coding RNA (VRAD_LNC009968)
Source: RNAcentral